AUCAGCAUCCUCCAGUAAUUUGUCAACUGUCCAUAUGGGUGGACUAACAUGUAUAACUCAGCCGACGACAGAACUGGGGUCUGAGGAUACUGUUAUUGCACAAUUUUUGAGUAAUCCUGCCCAAGUUGGACCAAGCGAGUCUCCUGUCCUAUUUAGUGGAACAGUUGGUGCUGCAUCUACAUUUUCUCCAUUGGCAUCUAAUGACCUUCCUGAAAUAAGUGCUAUGGUGCCCCCUCCAUCAACAUCUGCUGAUCGUCUGGGACUUGUAUUAC
This is a long non-coding RNA of Zea mays, 272 nucleotides long. RefSeq lists it as uncharacterized. NCBI's taxonomy places the organism in Eukaryota, Viridiplantae, Streptophyta, Magnoliopsida, Poales, Poaceae. The record is from RefSeq and is a predicted model, not a curated record. The transcript has 3 exons.